AAUUUCAUCCAUAUGUUUUGUUAUCUCAUUUUCUGCUUUGUCUCAGCAAAUCCUUAUGUAUUGCACCUGCAGCUUCAUUUUUGUAUUAAUGAUCAAAUUUCUUGUGUUAAUUGAACUCUAAUAAUACAUCAUCAUGAUGCAUAUGGGAUUGCGGUUGCUUCUUUGCCCACUUAGUUCUAACAUUGUGAUUCGAUCUGCAUGUGCAAGAUAUCAGUGCAUAUGCGUUAGAAGAUAGUCCAAGGUCCAUAUCAAUCAUUCCGUGAUGGAUUUUUUAUGGGAGGCAUGUCUCAGGAUUUCCUGGGUGAUGAUUUUAAAAGACUUUCAAGCAAGCAUGACUCUACAAUUACACACACUCUCAGUUGUUAUAUAUUAGUAGCAUUAUGUUGUUAGGGACAUUGAUCGAGUGUAUUAUCCUGUUCUUUUUUGGGGGGUCCUGCAAUUGGAUCUAAUUUUCUCCAAAUCAAUUUUCUUUUGCCACUGUUUUUCUUGUUGCUUAAUUUCUGUUUAUCAUGAUUGUGAAUUCAAUUAUAUCGCAGCUCAUAACGUUGUAACCGGAAAAGCACCCGUAACUGACGAUGAAGAGCAGCAGAAAUUCGACACGUAUAACCACAUGACUAGAAAGACGGGCUAGAAAUGCCAGUCAGCAGAAGGUCCAUCACGGCCUCAUAUAAUUCAGGAGCAGAGCGGCCGAUUUCACACCAUGACAUAGACAAAA
This is a long non-coding RNA of Mercurialis annua (annual mercury), 715 nucleotides long. RefSeq lists it as uncharacterized. NCBI's taxonomy places the organism in Eukaryota, Viridiplantae, Streptophyta, Magnoliopsida, Malpighiales, Euphorbiaceae. The transcript has 3 exons. The record is from RefSeq and is a predicted model, not a curated record.